UGAGGAAUAUUGGUCAAUGGGCGAGAGCCUGAACCAGCCAAGUAGCGUGCAGGAUGACGGCCCUAUGGGUUGUAAACUGCUUUUAUGUGGGGAUAAAGUGCGUGACGUGUCAUGCAUUGCAGGUACCACAUGAAUAAGGACCGGCUAAUUCCGUGCCAGCAGCCGCGGUAAUACGGAAGGUCCGGGCGUUAUCCGGAUUUAUUGGGUUUAAAGGGAGCGUAGGCUGUCUAUUAAGCGUGUUGCGAAAUAUACCGGCUCAACCGGUGGCUUGCAGCGCGAACUGGUCGACUUGAGUAUGCAGGAAGUAAGCGGAAUUCAUGGUGUAGCGGUGAAAUGCUUAGAUAUCAUGACGAACUCCGAUUGCGCAGGCAGCUUACUGUAGCAUAACUGACGCUGAUGCUCGAAAGUGCGGGUAUCAAACAGG
RNAcentral lists this ribosomal RNA (424 nucleotides) under Fusobacteriota bacterium. RNAcentral describes it as "Fusobacteria bacterium partial 16S ribosomal RNA". It matches the Rfam family "Bacterial small subunit ribosomal RNA", at positions 355 to 776 of the family's 1533-position model. The record is from RNAcentral. Lineage: Bacteria; Fusobacteriati; Fusobacteriota.